AUGAGAUUAACUCAGUGCAUCUCUCCUGAGCUCCCUGUAUGCUACACACAGGAGGUGUGGGCAAGGUGGUCCUGGACAGGGCCCUGGGCUCCCAGGACAAGUGGGCUGAGCCUGGCAGGAGGAUGGGAAGGCACAGGGCGAGUCCAGGAAAGGCCCACGGGCAGCGCCAGGGUGGCUGGAGCCGUGGGGCACACGGUCAGGAGACAAGUGAGGCCACACCAGCAAGGUCCGAGGGAGAGGCUGACUGUCCGGGAAGGCGGCUCCAGGGGGAGGGGCAAGUCCCGGGGCCUCCGGGGCAGCCCGGUGAUGGGCCGUCAGGGCUGGUCUCUUCUCUCUCGGCCACAGGUUCUCCAUCUCAGGCCCCGGGGAGUGCGUCUUCGUGGAGCCCACCAGGCUGGCGUCGACGGAGUGCCUGAUGACCCGGCCCUGGGUGUGCAGCAAGACGGCCUACACGUGAGGCCCAGUGCAAAGCUCCCUGGGACCCCUUCCAGGACGGCGGCAGGCCCACAGGGACCCCUCCCUCUCCCCAGCACCCUCAGCACUUAAGACCGAGCCUCUCCCGCAGCCCAAGUUGUCAGAACUUUUCACCUGAGACUCAUCUCUUCACAUCAUCUCACCGCGUGUCAUCUAAGCCCCUAGGUGGCAGGGAUUAUGUGCUGUUGGCCUCUUUGCAGCACACAGCAUGUGCUUAAAAAAGUACAUUGUUGUAUAUGGCAGUGAGAUUGCCCCCAAAUGUCCUCUCAACUCGUGUCCCUGGUGGGGACAGCAGCGACCGGCCAUCAGCAGAGCCUUGCCUUUUUGGCCCUGGAGAGCGUGGCGUGACUUCAGAGCCACACUCUGAAGGCUCAUGAAGAAAGAUGAGCUCUGUUUUGCUUCAAUUGCGAGAGCUCCCUCACAUCCCCUGAGCGUGCACAUCCUGGGCGGGCAGUGUGGGGGUGGCCACGAGGGAGCGCUGCCUCGGCCUCUGCAUCACACAGAGCCCAGGCGAUCGUGCUUUGCUCAUCUGUUUCCCUGCCCACCAGCCCCGCAGACAUGAAAGCCCCUCGAGGCAGGGGCCCACUCGCACGCUCCUUUGUUUCUCUAGCGCCUGGUACAUACUGAAGGUGCUUAAUAAACCUGUGUUGAACUAAACUCGUCUUGACUCC
RNAcentral lists this long non-coding RNA (1145 nucleotides) under Sus scrofa (pig). RNAcentral's name for it is "lncRNA (ENSSSCG00015003407.1)". Lineage: Eukaryota; Metazoa; Chordata; Mammalia; Artiodactyla; Suidae. The record is from RNAcentral.